GUAUGGUUCUCAAUCAGGGACAGCUGUCUAUCGUUGUCUCUGAUUGGGAACCAUACUUAGGCAGCCCUUUUUCCCACCUGUCCUUGUGGGCAGUAAACUUUGUUUGUGGCACUUUGCCCUGUAAGCUUCACGGUCGUUUUUGUAUUGUUUAUUGGUUUUGCUGGCGACAUUCAAUGAAGAGGAAAAUGCUCCAUAAACAGCUGGAUCGAAAACUGUUUUGAUGAUCUGGAGCACAAAGGAUCUACAGAUGCUCCCACCAAAUCCAUCGGCAGAAGGCUGUCCAAGCCCCCCCCCUCCCUUUCUUCUGUCUCCUCAGGGCCCUUCUUGGAGUUCACAGCAAAGGACACAGGCACUCCAAGCCCAGAGGCGCUUAGCUACCACUCUCAUCCCUCAGUACCCAAUCAGGCCUCUGCUUUCCAGGGCAGUGCUGCUGGUGCUAACUAAACAGGCAGCGUCUGCCGAUGGAAAAAUUCUGAUUUUAAUCAGGGGGAAGCAAAUGCUGAUUUUCUGCCCUAAUUACUAAUCUUCGUGUUUCAUGGAGAGAAACCCUGGAAGUCUUUAGAUGUGCUGGGUGAUGGUGUGGCAAGACACGAUUCAUCAAAUCACAUGUGGACUCCUGACCUCCCUCUUAUGAGGUCCCUUGGGCUUACCCAUGAAUCUUCUCCCCCGAAAGAGGAGCCAGGCCUCAGCCUGCUAAGCGACGACUUCAAGCGCCCACACCGCUCACCAAAGAAAUGCAGCAAAUUCUCUCAGUCCACAGCCAAGUGGGAGAGCAUUGUGGAGGUCCCUGAGAAAGUACAUGUACAAGUCUAUGACCCCACCCUCAUAGACCUCUACAAGUAAUCCAAGCCCGUAAGCAGUUGUACAGCCAGCUCCCCACCAUCAAGGCCCCCAGUGACUCUGGGUGAGCUCCAUGGGGAUGAGCAAGGAGGCUAGUCUGGUGCAGCUUCCAGACAGCUCACAACACUUCACACUGGAGCCCAUCAAGGGUAAGAGGGACUCCAACUGGAGGGAGAGCCUGUACAAGCUUGUAUCCCAAUAUGGCAUCCGCUCCACAAGGGCCAGACUGUCCGCUCUUGGCCCUCUGCAUGUCCCAGGGGCUGCCCAGCGCUACCACUGCACCCUGUCCCCUCUUCAGAUUACGAAGGCCAGCAAGGUGUCCCUGGGCCAGAGGGUGGUGCGGAAGAUCAUCAUUGGAAAGGCCCCCCUCCCAGUUCCACCAUGGGCUGCCCCUGCCCUGGCAGCUCAACAGCCACAUCAUGGACCCCUCUGGAGAGCAUGUAUGGGAGGCUGGAGGUGGAAUGGGUGAGGGAGCCAAUGGAGCCCCAGAGAGGGAAGGUGCAGGAAGUGAAGCUGCCCCGAUAAGGUCUAGGUGUCAUCCAUCCUAAUCACCAGGGGGCAGUGUGGGGCCAAGGUUCCAUUUAGGCAGUGUUAUGUUGUAUUGUCUCUGGAUAUCUGCGUGAUAAACAUCUACCAAAUUGUGAUGGAAUUGUAAUGCAUUAAGCUUGUUGUUGUAAGUUGCAAUAAAAUAUAGCUGUAUACAUUCUUA
Molecule: long non-coding RNA, 1549 nt
Filed under: Salmo salar (Atlantic salmon)
Lineage: Eukaryota; Metazoa; Chordata; Actinopteri; Salmoniformes; Salmonidae
Description: lncRNA (ENSSSAG00000092326.1, ENSSSAG00000118880.1)
Source: RNAcentral